This 71-nucleotide transfer RNA is filed under the name Uraeotyphlus cf. oxyurus MW-212. RNAcentral's name for it is "tRNA-Lys". Lineage: Eukaryota; Metazoa; Chordata; Amphibia; Gymnophiona; Ichthyophiidae. The record is from RNAcentral.
CAUUAAGAAGCUACACGGACAGCAUUAGCCUUUUAAGCUAAACACCGGUGACCACCAACCACCCUUAAUGA